AGCUCUCCAGUGCUUCGAAAGCUCGACACAGUGUAGAACGUCAGUAGCGAUCGGCUCAUUACUAGCGGAAACUUCCAAUUAAUCCGAAAGUGACUUUGAUUUUUCACAGUCUCUUUGGCUAACGGAUUUAUUAAGUUUCCUUAGUUCUUCUUUUUUUAUUUUAUUUUUGCCAUUUGGAGAUCCCACUGCGUCUCUGCAGCCUGUUGAAUAUUCGGCCGCUCGAGAGAAAAAGAAAAAGCUGCUGUUCGCUAUAGCAUCUCGAUGGAUGUGAAACAGGAGACCUGUGAUAAGGACACAAAUUUCAUGGAGAUACCUUUAAAUAUUAAGGAGGAGGACUGUGAAUGGGAGCCCAUCUACACUAAACAGGAAAGUCUGAGCAUCAAGGAGGAGGAUAGUGAACUGCAGUCAGUGGACAUUAAAGAAGUUGUUGAAGAGACGCCUGUUAGUAAUGACCAUAACCAUGCAAAUUUGAUGAGUAUUGAGGAAGGCGUUCUUUACGAUGGGUUUCAAGAUGUGAUGGUGACAGGGUUAGACUCUUCUCAAAGCAGGCACUGUUCAUCUCCAGAGACUUCUAUUAAUGUGAUGUCUGAAUCAUUAGAGUCUGAUACAAAGAGGGCUGAGGAAACUACAUCUGUUAGAACUCAGGAAAAUCACCCACCAUCUACAAGGAAGUCUGGAAAAAG
Molecule: long non-coding RNA, 683 nt
Organism: Polypterus senegalus (gray bichir)
Lineage: Eukaryota; Metazoa; Chordata; Cladistia; Polypteriformes; Polypteridae
Exons: 2
Source: RefSeq, a predicted model, not a curated record